Non-coding RNA from Monodelphis domestica (gray short-tailed opossum), 9007 nucleotides. Lineage: Eukaryota; Metazoa; Chordata; Mammalia; Didelphimorphia; Didelphidae. The record is from RefSeq and is a predicted model, not a curated record.
UCCUGGGCCUCCAGGAACCCCUUUCCGCCCACCCUCCCCUCUCUCUCGCCCCUUUUCGCUUCAGGUGACCAAACCGUCUUUACCUAUACUCAGAAAUCCCCUUGCCCUCCUGUCCCUUGGGAAAUAAACCCCAAGGUUUAUUCCGACCAGAGUUGUAAUUCUCCCCCUCCCCCUUUAACAUCUAGGAAGUGGCUUUGCCUGAAGCUCCCCUCCCCCAAUGGCUUGUAGAGGAGAAACACAAAUUUAACGUUUCUCCAGUGCUGUUGAGUAAAUAAUAUUCUCCCCUAAUCCUCAACCCUCCGCCCCCAGCCACCUAGGAGUUUUCUGUCCUUAAUUGUUUCAGUCCAUUUCAGUCUCCUGGCUUGUAGCUCUUAAUACUCUCCCUUCCCCCGGAAGACACCUCAUCUAGGAGUAGUGCUAUGGUAUUUAAUUAAUUCUCUCGACCCUUUUCCCCUUGUCGCCCCCACCCCUUCUGCUUGCUGCAUCUGAUGCUUCAUUCCAUUCUUUUCUUGACCUGUGUUCCAAGUGUCCCGUUGGAAGGGGGUGUGUACCUGCUUCACUUUAUGGUAAUAACUAGUUAGGUUGGGUCCUUAUGCAUAGCACUAAAGAUUUUCUAUCAUUUUGGUUUGGUAUAAAUUUUCCAAAUUUGUUGGUAAUAUGAAUAAUAGCUUGUUAAGGAUGAUUGAAUACAUAUUGACUUUUUAAAACUCCAUUUUGUAAACCUCGAGGCUAUAUAAAUGAACACUAAAUUUCAGAAUCAUUUCUCCAACUUGGUAUUUCUUUAAUCGACGAUUCAUUUUUAAGGUCCAGGUUUAUGAGACUAUGAUAAACAAAAACAAAUAUUACUUUUUAAAUUAUAAGAACAUUUGGUAUUUGUACAGUUAAGUCCUACAAUAGUAACAGGCUCAUAUUGAGGAGAGCUGAAAGUCUUUAGCUGCUGAACCCUUCCAUUUCUUGCAACAAAAUACCAGACAAAAUUUUUAAGUCUAAUGAAGUGUGGCAGACUGAAGUUUACUGCACAAUAAGUGCCCAACACGACUCUCCUGAGUCCCUGGAAUUUUUGUUAAAUGAUCACAUUAUUUCUUCGUAGUUAAGGAAAUUAUUUUUAAAAUUGCAAAUGAGUAUGGGGGCAGGGUUUAUACAUGGUUAACAUAAUUUUAGUAUCAUACAGAUAAUCUAAUCUAAUCGAAAUUGUUGUCUUUCCAGUGUAUUACUGUAAACAUUCAGUAAAUUUUGGUGUGGAUAAUAAAUGAAAGCACCUUAACCUUUAAUUACUGACUUCAGGGAUUGAAAAUUCUGGACUGGGAUUUGCUCCAAUAUAUGAACAUCAUAGACGCUGUGUAUCAUAGAUGAGCAUGACUAUGGAAUAAAGUCAUUUGUGCAGAAUUGUUAUAUAUCGAACACAAAAUAAAUUGUUCCUCUCACUAUCAGCCAACUUGUAUUUUAUGGUUUGGAAUUCUCCUUGUUGCAGUACUAAGGUUUCUCAGAAUGUCAUGUGGGAUACUGUUGCUGACCUUUCAUCAAUUCAUCAUUGUGCAAGCUCCCAGCAGAGUGACAAUAUGCUACUAUAAGUAUUAAGAUUUAAGUCUUCAAAGACUAGUGGAUAAACACCAGCAAGUGCAAUUAUAUUUAUCAUAUUGAGCCUUUUGUCCAUGUAAAAAGAUAACAUUCAAGACAUGAUAAAUUUACUAUGAACAGACUUUUACCACACCGCUAGACAAACUUUCAUAUGUCAUUGUUUUGGAAACACAUUAGAUUUUAUAAACACAACAUGAAAUACUUUGGAAGAUAAUCAUUUUACUAAGUAAAAAGACUACUGUGUUUUCCUGAUUACUAUGGAAUUUUAUCAUAGUUAUUUUGACAUCAAAACUAAACCCCAACACUACCUCUGGCUUUUAGCUAAUCUCUCAAAAUGAAAAGUGGACCUAUCUAGUUUAAUGGAGUCCCAUGACUAUCAGUCUGCCUUUUUUUUUGUCUCAUCUUUCCUGCUGAUUUUAAUUUCUCUGUAAUUUGUAGCCUUAUUUGUUUGAGGUAAUAAGAAAUUAAGUGACUUGUCAGUAUUAACACUGCUACUAAUUUGUGCAGUCUGUGGGACUUGAAUUUAUGGUAGGUCUUCUUGACUCAAACUUGAUUUCCCUAGAUGGCUUAAUGUCCCCUAAAUGGCAUAUUAUGUUGCCUAUUGGGUGAGUUUUGAACAUUGUUGCAAUGGAGCUAGCAUUACUGGUCCCCUCCCCACCCCAUACCAAUUAUGGGUUAGGUAAGAUUUAGUCUAAGUAAACAGACCAGUGAGUUUAGAAAACACUCAAAAUAAUAUUUAACUCAAAACCUAAAAUAGAAUAUCUGAUAAAUUAGAACAACAAAAUUGAAAACAAAAAAGCAAGAAUCAAUAAGACUAGAAACUGGUUUUAAAAAAAUGGGUCAUUCAUAAAUCUUUUUUUUUUUUAAGAGGAAAAGCAGAUUAUUAGUAUCAAAAACGAAAAUGGCACAUUUGCAACAAAUAAGAAGUAAAAGAAAAUAUUAGAAGCUAUUUUAUCCAACUGUAUGCCAAUAAACCAACUGAAAUGGAUGACUUUAUAAAAAUAUAAGAUGCUCAGAUUAACAGAACAAAAAGCAAAGAAUUUAAACAACCUAAUCUUAUAAAAAUAAAUUGGCUUUGUUGCCAUGUUCCUGGAUCUAUAUUUUCCCCAAUAUAGUAUUAAAGACUUUUUUUUUUUAAAACCCAGUUGCAUCUCUUGAUGUAACUCAUUUUAUUAGACCUUAAUGGAGAACCAAUAUCCCUUAGUUAUACAUUCCUAAUGCAUUAGAUAGUCUUUUGUGUUGUAUGUUAGUAUCCUUUUUUCACUUUUUUUUUGGGGGGGGGAAUGGAAAACUACAUCUGGGUUCAAGUUUUUGUUUUGACAUUUAGCAGCUUUGUGACUUAAACUUGAUAGGUUGUUAGGAAGCAAGAACUUUGUAAACUUUAAAGUGCUAUAUAAAUACGAUGUUAUUCAAAAGAUAAAAUCAUUUUAUAGUAAUGGAAGUUCCUGAAAAUUUAUAUGCAAAAUAAGUUUUUAUAAGUAGAAUAGUAAUUUGGGAGAAGAUUGAGAUUUAAAGAGCCAUUGGUCAUAUCCUUUAUAUACAUUCAUAUAUACACACACACACACACACACACACACACACACACACACACACAGACACAUAUGACCUGGGCGCAUACCUCUGUAUUUUGAUACUUUUGGGUCUGUAGAACUGAAUUUCAUUUAUAAAGAUCCUUUAAUAUUGAAUGACAGAGAAAGGCUUUUCUUUCCCUUUCCUCUUUUUUUGUUUUUGUCUGUUUCUUACAUAAAAAGGUUUGGGAAGUAUUAGUAUUUAGGAGCAUAUUGGAAAUCAUAAGAAAUCUAUAUAAUUUGCUCAAAAGUAAUAUACAUAUAUUUUUAAGAUAAUCACUGAAGUGGGCUGUUGAAUGUGGAAAAUGUCUCAGUCAAAUUCAGAAAGAUGUCUUUGAAGUAAAUAUAUACAGAUUUUAUAUGUCUUAUCCCUACAUAAACAUAUAAAUACCACAAAUAAUUACCCAGUAAGCAUUUAUUCAGUACCUUCUGUGUGCCAGGCACUGUGCUAAGUGCUAGGGAUGCAAAAAGGCAAAAGAACAGCCUUUGUUCUAAAGGAGUUUACCAUCUAAGGUGGGAGAGGAGAAACAGCAUGAAAAUAAACAUACAAAGCAAGCUGUGGAAAUAAUUAACAGAAGGAAGAUACUAGAAUUUCAGGCAUGGAGGGACAGCCAGAGAAAAUUUCUGAGAGAUGAUAACAUCUUAUUUGUAGAACAACUAGGAUGCAGUGUCCGAGCCAAAGAAUAUCUGUUGGUGAGUAAGGGAAGGACUUUGAAUGCCAAAGAGUUUUUUUUUUUUUUGUAUCUGAUCCUGGAGGCAAUUUUAGGAAGGUGGUGACAUGAUUAAACUUGUACUUUAGGAAUAUCAUUUUAGUAUCUUAGUGGAGGAUGGCUUGUAGUGGGGAAAGACUUUAGGCAGGCAGAACCACUAGUCAGCUAUUGCAAUAAUCCAAGAGUUAGGUGAAGGGGACCUGCACAAGAGUGGUGGCAGUAUUGGCAGAGAGAUGUUAGAAAGAUGGAAAUCUAAAUAUUAGAUCUAUGUGUCAUUUUUAUUAAUUGAUUAAUUACUAAACAAAGAUUAUCUCAAGUAACUACUAGAGAAAAUUUUUGAAGUUGGAGAGAGGAGCUAUAGUCACUUGAUAGGAACGGGGUAUAAGAAGUCUUUUAUUCAUUGGUUUAGUUUCCUGCUGCAUUACUGAAUUGAUUGGUAACUAUGGAGAUACUACUUGCCUGUAGAGAAUUGUUAACUGAAAUGCCAGUAUGAGCCUUUAAUUUUUGUGAACCGUGGUGUGAGGAUUUAAAAAAUGAUAGAUGUUUUAAUGAGUGGGGAGGUAAUGGGAUGUGUAAUGGAAAGAAUCUUCAACUAAAGAGCUAGGAGGCUUAGGUUAUAGCUGUGCUUCAGCUACUAAUGUUAGCUGUGUGAUUUGUGAUAAGUUGACCCAUUUCCUUAUCUGUAAAGUGAAUUGUGGGAGCUGGAUAAUCUCCAAGAUCCCUUUUAGGUUUAAGAUGCUAAAAUGAUCAAAGAGCAAGUUUAUUUUUUUAUGGCAAAUGUGUGAUUCUUCAUUGUAUUCCCACAUAACUGAUCUAUUAUGCUAUUCUUGUGCAAUACAUAACAUUGAUAGCCCAAGGUCUCAUAAUAACAUGUAAACUUUUAGCAGAACAAAUACAAAAUAUGACUGAAGCCUAGAAAAAGAAAUUCCUUGAACUAAAAUUUUACUUGAAACUGAGCAUUUGUGAUGGUGUGAUCACAACCCUAGAAGUAAACACAAAACAAGUCUAAUUAAAUUACUAGCAGAUUACCCUUCUUCCUUUAAAAAAAAAUAAAUGCAUCCUUGCUUCUUGUGCAUAUCCUCUCAUAAAUUCUCCACAGAGAAUCUGUCUAACAUGGUAGGGACAUGCACAGAUACCAAGGAAGAAUGGCAUUUCCAUCAGACUGUCCAUUAAGUUAUUCUUUCAUUCUUGCUGAAUCUUAUGCAAAUUGUUACAGAAUCUAUUAACAGGAAAAAAUCUCAAGUCCUCUAGGCCAAGCCAUACUUGAAUAAAAUUUUAUAUUGGUAUCAUCACCAACAAGCUUUCAUCUUAUGUGUGAAAUUCUUCAAUGAGACAAAAGCCAUUAUUUUUUUCUGGACCAGAAGAAAAAGAAGAGAUGAAGACAUGUUUUGAUUAAGCUAAUUAUUAUUAGAAAACAGUCUCUAAAGACAUGAACAGGAAAUCCCUUCUAUAAUCUACACUAAACAUACUGCUAUUCAACUUUUACCUCUUCAUUGAGUGGAGGACCUUUUUGUGUAUUUCCUUUUUUUAAAAUAUUUUUUAAAUUAUUUUUUACAUUCAUUUUUGUAAGUAAUAUUAAAAAAACAAAACAUAAACUCAAACAAUUGAAAAGUCAUAUGCUUUCAUCUGCAUUCUGAGAGUUCUUUUUCUGGAGGUGGUUAGCAACAUUCUUUGUCCCAAGUCCCUCAAACUUGCCUUGGAUCAUUUUAUGCUGAGAGUAGCUAAGUCUAUCACAGUUCUACAAUAUUUUGCUGUUACUAUAUAUGAUUUUUUCCUGGUUCUGCUUAUUUAACUCUGCAUCAGUUCAUGUAGAUUUUUCCAGCUCAUUCUGAAAUCAUUCUGUUCAUUCCUCAGCAUAAUAGUAUUCCAUCACCAUCAUAUAACACAAUUUAUUCAGCCAUUCCCCAAUGAAUAUCCCUUCAAUUUUCACUUCUUUGCCACUACCAAAAGAACAGCUAUAAAUAUUUUUGUACAAGUAGGUUUUUUCUCCAUUUUUGUGUGCUUUUUAAAAUGAGUUGUAAAAAAUAAAUUUAGUUGAUGACUUCUGUUUCUUUGAUCAUCAUAGUUAUCCCAAGUGUUUCUUCCCAGCUUACAAAUAGACCUUUUAAGAGAAGGAAACAAGUCAAUAUUGAUCAAAACACUGAAAAAGACAGAAAAUAUUUGCAAUGUGUAAUACCGGUGAUUUUCCUACCAUCAGAAACAGAUGGGGUAUGUGUGGGGAUAUCUCAUAUCUUUGCAGUCCAGUCCUUGAUCUUUGUAAUUUUGUUACAUUCACUUUUGAUUUUUAUUUUGAUGAUGUGUUUGGUGUUUAGUUUCUUUCUACCUACAGUAUCUUCUUGUUAUUGAUUUCUUGACUGCUGACUUCAGUACUUUUCAUCAGAAUGGUUUGGCCAGUUCACAACUCGCAGCGCAUUAGUGUAUCAAUUUUUCCUUGUCCCAAUCAGCAUUUGUCAUUUCCUUUUCUCUCAUGUUAGUCAAUCUUGAUUAGGUAAUUAGGUGGUGGUAUCUCAGAGUUGCUUUAAUUUGCAUUUCUCUAAUAGUUAUUAAAGCCUUUUUUAUUUUUUUAUUGAUUUGCUUUCUUCUGAAAACUGCCUGUUUGUUUAUAUUGUCUUUAGGUUUGUCCUGGCAGGUAGACUCCUAAGUAUUUUAUAUUGUCUUAUUUGUUUUUAGUUUUAGGCUUAUUUGUUAUUAGUCUUCUUAAUAGGUUUUAUGAGAAGCAUAUAGAUAUGCUGAUGAUUUAUGUGGGUUUAUUAUAUAUUCUGCAACUUUGCUAAAAUUAUUAAUUAUUUCAAUGAUUUUUUUAGUUGAUUCUCUAGAAUUCUCUGAGAAUACCAUCUACAGAGAGUGAUAGUUUUCUUGAUUGCCUAUUUUUAUUCCGCUAUUUUUUUUCUUAUUGCUGUAGCUAGCAUUUCUUAUACAAUAUUGAAUAAUGGUGGUGAAAAGGAAAGUACUUUCUUCCAAAUCACUGAUCUUAUUGGGAAAGUUGUUUUUGUUUUUUUAGAUACUACUAAUCAUUUUUAAGAAAAGUGCUUUCUGGUAUUUUUUUAAUAGAAAUGAUUAUUCUAUUUUGUCAAAAGACUGUUGUUUCUAUUGAUAGAAUUGUAUGACUUUUGUUAUAUAGUCAAUUUUGCUGAUUUUGUUGUGGUCAGUCAUUUCAGACAUGUCUUGACUCUUUGUUGACCCCAUUUGGGAUUUUCUUGGCAAAGUUACUGGAGUGGUUUGCCCCUUCCUUCUCCAUCUCAUUUUACAUAUAAAGAAACUGAAGCAAACAGGGCUUAAGUGACUUGCCCAGGGCCACACAGCUAGUUAGUAUCUGAGAUCCGAUCUGAACUCAGCAAGUCUAACUUACUCUAGGCCUGGCAUUCUAUCCACUGAGCCACCUAAUUUUCCUAAUAUGGAAACAGCCCUGCAUAAAUCCCAUUUGGUCAUAGUAUAGGAUAUUUGUGAUAUAUUUCUAUGAUAUUCUUGCUAGUGUUUAUUUAUUUGUUUACUUAGCAUCAGUAUUUCAUUAAAAAAUUGUGUUUUUUUUUCUCUGUUUUUGUUCUUUCUGGUUUAGGUAUUAAAACCAUAUUUGUGUCAUAAAAGGAAUUUGGUAACUCCUUCACCAGUUUUUUCAAUAGAUUGUUCCUUUAAUGUUUGGCAGAGUUCACUUGUGAAAAAUUCCAUCUGGUCCUGGUGAUUUCUUACAGAGUUCAUUGAUGGCUUAUUCAGUUUAUUUUUCUAAGAUUUGAGGAUUACGUAUUUCUGUUAAUCUGAGUAAUUUAUAUUUUUGUAAAUAUUCAUCCAUUUCACUUAAAUUGUCAGUUUUACUGUAUAUCAUUGGGCAAAAUAACUCCUAAUAAUUGCUUUAAUUUCAACUUCUUAAAUGAUAAUGUUCACCCUUUCCAUUUUUGAUACUGGUUAAUUUGUCUUCCUUUUUAAAAAUCAAAUGAACCAAUGUUUUAUCUACCUUCCCUCUCCAAAAAAAACCCCAAAUCAACAACAACCCAACUCUUUAGUUUUAUUCUUUUUUUUUUAAACCCUUAGCUUCCUUCUUGGAACCAAUUGGUUCCAAGGCAGAAGAGUGGUAAGGACUGGUCAAGUGACUUGCCCAGGGUCACACAGCUGGGAAGUGUCUGAGGCUAGAUUUGAACCUAGAACCUCCCAUCUCUAGGGCUGGUUCUCAAUCCACUGAGUCAUCUAGCUUCCCCUUUUAGUUUUAUUCUUUCAAUUUUUUUAUAUUCAAUUUUAUUAAUCUCUCCUUUGAUUUACAAGAUUUCCAUUUUGGAAUUUAAUUUGGUAAUUUUAACUUGUUCUUUUUUUAAGCUUCAUGCCUAGUUUGUUGAUCUUUCUUUUAUUGAUGUACAUGUUUAGAGAUAUAAAAUUUCCCCUAAAUAGUGCUUUAAUUACAUCUUAAAAAAUUUGGAAUGUUGUCAAUCUCUUAAAUGAAAUUGACUUUUCUAUGAUUUGUUCUUUGACCCAUUUAUUCUUUAGCAUGAGAUUAAUUUCUACUUAAAAUUUUAAUAUAUGCUUCCAAGACCCUUUAUUGAAUUUAUUCCAUUAUAAUCUGAAAAGGGUGGAUUUAAUAUUUCUGCCCAUAUGAAUUUGGUUGUGAAGUUUUCAGGCUGUAAUGUGUAGUCAGUUUUUGUGAAGGUGUCUUUCCAUUCAUAUUAUAUUUUACUUACUAGCCAGGUACUUUGAUCCAGGAAUAUUGACCUCCUGGUUGUUCCACAAACAAGAUGCUCCCAUCUCUCAUGUCAAGGCAUUUUCUAUGGCUGUCUUCCAUGCUUGACAUGCUCUUCCCUCCUCCAUAUUGUCUACUAACUUUCCUAACUCCCCUUAAGUCCCAACUAAAACCCUAUCUUUUACUUAAAAGUCUUAAAAAAGACUUAAAAGUCUUCCCCAAACCUCUUAAUUCUAGUGCUUUCCUCCUCUUUCUGUUUAUUCUGUAUUUAUCCAACUACAGUUGCUUUUCUUUCUUCUUCCCUUGACUAAAAUUUUUUCUCACUUGAAAGUACCAGGAGAUAAUUCUUUGGAGGGGUAGGUAGUUUUUUUCUUGGAAUUUUUAGCUCCUUUGGAAAUAACCUCAUGUUUGUUUCUUGGUUUGUGUAGUUAGUAAUAUUUUUUCUUUCAUUUGUUUUCUGUGUGGCAUUCUUCUGUAUUCCAGCCUUU